CUAAAGAUCUUGAGUGUGUUUGUCCAUUUCUUUUUUCAAAUUUGAGCAGUUUUUGUCCAUUAAUUUUGUUUGUUUAUUUAUUUAUUUUGAGAUGGAUUCUCACUCUGUUGCCCAGACUAGAGUGCAGUGGUGUGAUCUCAGCUCAUUGCAACCUCUGCCACCCGGGCUAGAGUGAUUCUCUUGCCUCUGCCUCCCAAGUAGCUGGGACCAAAGGUGAGUGCCAUCAGGCUUGGCUAAAUUUUGUAUUUUUUUUUUUUAGUAGGGAAGGGAUUUCACUAUAUUGCCAGGUGGAUCUUGAACUCUUGAUCUCAAGUGAUUCACCUGCCUUGGCCUCCCGAACUGCUGGGAUUACAGACAAACAGGGAGCCAAAUCAUGAGUGAACUCCCAUUCACAAUUGCUUCAAAGAGAAUAAAAUACCUAGGAAUCCAACUUACAAGGGAUGUGAAGGACCUCUUCAAGGAGAACUACAAAACACUGCUCAAGGAAAUAAAAGAGGAUACAAACAAAUGGAAGAACAUUCCAUGCUCAUGGGUAGGAAGAAUCAAUAUCGUGAAAAUGGCCAUACUGCCCAAGAUUCAAUGCCAUCCCCAUCAAGCUACCAAUGACUUUCCUCACAGAAUUGGAAAAAUCUACUUUAAAUUUCAUGUAGAACCAAAAAAAAAGCCUGCAUCACCAAGUCAACCCUAAGCCAAAAGAACAAAGCUGGAGGCAUCCCGCUACCUGACUUCAAACUAUACUACAAGGCUACAGUAACCAAAACAGCAUGGUACUGGUACCAAAACAGAGAUAUAGAUCAAUGGAACAGAACAGAGCCAUCAGAAAUAAUG
This is a long non-coding RNA of Pongo pygmaeus (Bornean orangutan), 828 nucleotides long. RefSeq lists it as uncharacterized. Lineage: Eukaryota; Metazoa; Chordata; Mammalia; Primates; Hominidae. The transcript has 2 exons. The record is from RefSeq and is a predicted model, not a curated record.